Molecule: ribosomal RNA, 497 nt
Filed under: uncultured bacterium
Lineage: Bacteria
Description: partial 16S ribosomal RNA
Rfam family: Bacterial small subunit ribosomal RNA
Source: RNAcentral
GAUGAACGCUGGCGGCGUGCCUAAUACAUGCAAGUCGAGCGAACGGACGAGAAGCUUGCUUCUCUGAUGUUAGCGGCGGACGGGUGAGUAACACGUGGAUAACCUACCUAUAAGACUGGGAUAACUUCGGGAAACCGGAGCUAAUACCGGAUGAUAUUUUGAACCGCAUGGUUCAAAAGUGAAAGACGGUCUUGCUGUCACUUAUAGAGGGAUCCGCGCUGCAUUAGCUAGUUGGUAAGGUAACGGCUCACCAAGGCAAGGAUGCAUAGCCGACCUGAGAGGGUGAUCGGCCACACUGGAACUGAGACACGGUCCAGACUCCUACGGGAGGCAGCAGUAGGGAAUCUUCCGCAAUGGGCGAAAGCCUGACGGAGCAACGCCGCGUGAGUGAUGAAGGUCUUCGGAUCGUAAAACUCUGUUAUUAGGGAAGAACAUAUGUGUAAGUAACUGUGCACAUCUUGACGGUACCUAAUCAGAAAGCCACGGCUAACUACGUG